UGCGUAGGUGGCGGGGUAAGUCAGGUGUGAAAUCUCGAGGCUCAACCUCGAAACUGCACUUGAUACUGCCUUGCUCGAGUACUGGAGAGGAGAUUGGAAUUUACGGUGUAGCAGUGAAACGCGUAGAUAUCGUAAGGAAGACCAGUGGCGAAGGCGAAUCUCUGGACAGUUACUGACACUGAGGCACGAAGGCCAGGGGAGCAAACG
Molecule: ribosomal RNA, 207 nt
Filed under: uncultured bacterium
Lineage: Bacteria
Description: partial 16S ribosomal RNA
Rfam family: Bacterial small subunit ribosomal RNA
Source: RNAcentral